Molecule: small RNA, 508 nt
Filed under: Pan troglodytes (chimpanzee)
Lineage: Eukaryota; Metazoa; Chordata; Mammalia; Primates; Hominidae
Also listed under: 1 other name
Description: retained intron
Rfam family: Small nucleolar RNA SNORD70 (bases 1-62)
Source: RNAcentral
CUUAUUGGAACUGAAUUUAAGUGAUCUGACUCAUUCGUCACUACCACUGAGACAACAUUGAGUUAGCUUUUUUCACCAUAGGGCUGGUUUUCCCCAUGUGUGAGGAGAGGUGAGAAGUGGUUAAGUUGAUCUCCCUGUGGAAACCAGCAACAUAAUGCUGAAGCACAAUUCAGUAAAAGGUGUUCUACAAGGGACCAAGCAUUCACAGCUCUGAUGGAGGGCAAAAUCAAUAAGCAGCUGAAAAAAGUUCUGAAGAAAAUAGUAAAAGAAGCCCAUGAACCGCUGGCAGUAGCUGAUGCUAAACUAGGAGGGGUCAUAAAGGAAAAGCUGAAUCUCAGUUGUAUCCAUAGUCCUGUUGUUAAUGAACUUAUGAGAGGAAUUCGUUCACAAAUGGAUGGAUUAAUCCCUGGGGUAGAACCACGUGAAAUGGCAGCUAUGUGUCUUGGAUUGGCUCACAGCCUUGUUAGAUGACUUGGAUAAAGAACUAAACAACUACAUUAUGCGAUGU